RNAcentral lists this ribosomal RNA (511 nucleotides) under uncultured bacterium. Its description in RNAcentral is "bacterial SSU rRNA". It matches the Rfam family "Bacterial small subunit ribosomal RNA", at positions 8 to 518 of the family's 1533-position model. The record is from RNAcentral.
AGAGUUUGAUUCUGGCUCGGGACGAACGCUGGCGGCGCGCUUAACACAUGCAAGUCGAACGGAGCAAUUCUGAGCGUCUCGGACAAUUGGAAUUACUAGUGGCGGACGGGUGAGUAACGCGUGAGCAACCGGUCCUGAAGAGGGGGGACAACUUUGAGAAAUCAAGGCUAAUACCGCGUAAGACCACACUGUGGCAUCACAGAGGGGUCAAAGGAGAGAUCCGCUUCAGGGAGGGCUCGCGUCCCAUUAGGUAGUUGGUGACGGUAACGGCGCACCAAGCCGACAAUGGGUAGCCGUGCUGAGAGGCAGGCCGGCCACACUGGAACUGAGACACGGUCCAGACUCCUACGGGAGGCAGCAGUGGGGAAUCUUGGGCAAAUGGGGGGAACCCUGACCCAGCGACGCCGCGUGGAGGAAGAAGGUCUUCGGAUUGUAAACUUCUGUGACAGGGGACGAAGGAAGUGACGGUACCCUGUAAGGAAGCCCCGGCUAACUACGUGCCAGCCGCCGC